RNAcentral lists this ribosomal RNA (776 nucleotides) under uncultured Neocallimastigales. RNAcentral describes it as "partial large subunit ribosomal RNA". It matches the Rfam family "Eukaryotic large subunit ribosomal RNA", at positions 26 to 611 of the family's 3401-position model. The record is from RNAcentral. Lineage: Eukaryota; Fungi; Neocallimastigomycota; Neocallimastigomycetes; Neocallimastigales.
CGCAUCUGUGCAUGCAGCAUAUCAAUAAGCGGAGGAAAAGAAACUAACAAGGAUUCCCCUAGUAACGGCGAGUGAAGCGGGAAGAGCUCAAAUUUGAAAUCUUAAAGGGUUUCCCUGUACGAAUUGUAGUUUAAAGAAGUGUUUUCUGUUGAGGUUUUGGUAAAAGUUCUUUGGAAUAGGACAUCAUAGAGGGUGAGAAUCCCGUAUUUGACCUUUACUUUUCAACUUUGUGAUACACUUUCAAAGAGUCGGAUUGUUUGGGAAUGCAGUCCAAAAUGGGUGGUAAAUUUCAUCUAAAGCUAAAUAUUGGCGAGGAGACCGAUAGCGAACAAGUACCGUGAGGGAAAGAUGAAAAGAACUUUGAAAAGAGAGUUAAACAGUACGUGAAAUUGUCAAAAGGGAAGCGUUUGACACCAGUGUUGUUUUUCUGAAAAUCAAUUAAAGAACUGUUUAUGCUAAGUUGUUUAGACUUUAUCAGCUAACUGUUUAGUUUUGAGCUUUUCUUUAAUGCACUUUUCAGUUAACAAGUCAACAUCAAUUUCUUUUGCUGUAAAAAAGCUUGAGGAAGGUGGCUUGAGAUUCGUCUUAAGUGUUUAUAGCCUCUUGCCUAUGCAGUCGGAGAGAUUGAGGUCUGCAGCGUAGAUCCUUCGGGGCUAAAUGCAUUUGUGCUAAGUUAUAGCAUUUUAUAGACAACUUGUUGACUAUGAUUUGUCUUGUAGCUUACUCGCUUAUGUUAUUUUACCUACGCUUAGGAUGUUGAACGCGCACAGAGUCUC